CCUACGGGAGGCAGCAGUGGGGAAUAUUGGACAAUGGGCGAAAGCCUGAUCCAGCAAUGCCGCGUGAGUCAUGAAGCCCUUAGGGUUGUAAAGCGCUGUUGUGCAGGAGCGUAAUACUAC
RNAcentral lists this ribosomal RNA (120 nucleotides) under uncultured bacterium. RNAcentral describes it as "partial 16S ribosomal RNA". It matches the Rfam family "Bacterial small subunit ribosomal RNA", at positions 338 to 457 of the family's 1533-position model. The record is from RNAcentral.